UGCAAGUCGUACGAGGAAGGUUCCUUCGGGAGCUGAGUAAAGUGGCGAACGGGUGAGUAACGCGUGGGUAACCUGCCCUUGAGUGGGGAAUAACCUUGGGAAACCGGGGCUAAUACCGCAUGACAUCACGAGAGCCUUGGCUUUUGUGAUCAAAGGUGGCGCGGUUUGACCGCUAUCGCUCAAGGAGGGACCCGCGUCCCAUUAGCUUGUUGGUGGGGUAACGGCCUACCAAGGCUACGAUGGGUAGCCGGCCUGAGAGGGUGUCCGGCCACACUGGAACUGAGACACGGUCCAGACUCCUACGGGAGGCAGCAGUGGGGAAUAUUGGGCAAUGGGCGAAAGCCUGACCCAGCGACGCCGCGUGGGUGAUGAAGGCCCUUGGGUCGUAAAACCCUGUCAUGCGGGACGAAAGACCUGGGCUCUAACAUAGCUCGGGUUUGACGGUACCGCAGGAGGAAGCCCCGGCUAACUCCGUGCCAGCAGCCGCGGUAAUACGGAGGGGGCGAGCGUUAUUCGGAAUUAUUGGGCGUAAAGGGCAGGUAGGCGGCUUUGUAUGUCCUCUGUGAAAGCCCUCAGCUCAACUGAGGAAUUGCAGGGGAAACUGUAGAGCUUGAGUCCGGGAGAGGCUAGUGGAAUUCCCAGUGUAGCGGUGAAAUGCGUAGAUAUUG
This 668-nucleotide ribosomal RNA is filed under the name uncultured bacterium. RNAcentral's name for it is "bacterial SSU rRNA". It matches the Rfam family "Bacterial small subunit ribosomal RNA", at positions 56 to 699 of the family's 1533-position model. The record is from RNAcentral.